CUUUUAUCCAUAUCAGCUCAACAUGUUCACAUUAAUAUCCAUACUUUUCUAUUUUAGUUAUAGGCAUUUGAAACAAUCUCUUUUGAAAUACAAACUUUGUGGUUUAGGAAUCCUAUAUUCCUAUUUUACUCAGUAUAUUUCCAUCACCUUGCUGUCCUAGGCAAUAAAAGAAGAUGCCAAAAAGAAUCCUCAACAUUAAUUGUUUUCAGAGCCAGGCAUGGGGACUCAGCUUGAUAUUAACACUGCAUGAAUGUUUGGUUAGCGCUGUCAUAUCUACAUAUAAUUGAUGACGUGUCCCCUCUCCUUUGUAAGACCUCCUGAAUAACAUCCUUCCUUGAAGUCAGCCUACCACUGAAGAUCGUGUUGUGACAGAAGCAGUACAAAGAAAGAAUGUACAGACAUUGAGAGCAGGUACAUUUUCAAUACAAAUGGAAUGCUGGAAAUAAGUAUAUUAAAUGAUUGGAAGUACUCACAUUUUUCUUACCUCUAAUUCUUUUCAUUCUAAAUUGAAUGGAAGGCAUUGACAUAAAUGUUAUUGUUGGUAUCCAUGUUUCAAUAAAAUUAAAUUUACAAGUAUAAGAAAACAAGAUUUUAAAAAUAUGAGUUUUAACUCAGAUGCUUCUAUUUUAAUAUUUUGAAUAGCAUAACGUUUCCAAUAAGGAAUUUUUAUACUUCUCGGAUUCACAGCAGUGAAUUUUGAGGUUCUAAGAUAUUUCCAGUAUCUUAUGUGCUAGUUGGAGUUCUGAUACUUACCUAAAGGAAUGCUUUAUUUAGAUAUUAGUUUCUGUAUUAAUGUUAGAGGCUUCCUGUUAAUGUUAUUACACCAAAGCUGUGAAACCAAUGAGAUGGUCUAAUGAGCAGACUGUGUGCAUGUGUGUGUAUGGCUAAGUAUAUGGGUGUGUUUGUGGCAUCUUUGAUUAUUAAAAACUAGGAAAGUAAUUCAUUCAUAACUGACAGUCUUAAAAUGGUGGUUUUGAGACUUUUUGGUAUAAACGUUU
Long non-coding RNA from Sapajus apella (tufted capuchin), 998 nucleotides. RefSeq lists it as uncharacterized. The record is from RefSeq and is a predicted model, not a curated record. The transcript has 2 exons. NCBI's taxonomy places the organism in Eukaryota, Metazoa, Chordata, Mammalia, Primates, Cebidae.